AUGGAAAAUAAUUGCUUAGUAGGCGAAGAUAACUCCGUUGUGAGGAAUAUAAAUGGACAUAAUAAUUGUUCCGAAUCUUACUUGUGGCAUUUGCGACUUGGACAUAUAUCCAAGAACAGGAUUAAGAGACUUAUUAGUUCUGGAAUUUUGAACUUUAAGUGGGAGGAUUAUGGUAUUUGUGAAGCAUGUAUUAUGGGUAAAAUGACUAGGUCGCCUUUUCCCAAAGCAAGUAGAUCAACAGAACAGCUUGCCAUCGUUCACUCUGACAUUUGUGGGAAAUUUUCCACACCCACUUUGGGAGGGCAGAAAAUCUACUUUAUCACUUUCAUAGAUGACUAUUCAAGAUACGGUUAUGUGUAUUUGCUUAAACACAAAUCGGAAGGAUUUGAUGCUUUUAAAGUGUUCAAAGCGGAAGUGGAAAAUCAGCUAAACAAGAAAAUUAAAAUACUUAGAACUGACCGUGGUGGUGAAUACACGUCAGGAAUACUAGAUGAUUUCUGCAAAGAACAUGGUAUUAUUCAUCACUAUACCUUGCCAUAUAUUCCACAACAGAAUGGAGUGGCGGAAAGAAGGAAUAGGACUUUAAUGGAUAUGGUUAGGUCUAUGAUGGCUUAUUCUGACUUGCCAUUGUCUUUUUGGGGAGAGGCACUUCACACUGCUGUAUAUUUAUUGAAUCACUCACCUUCUAAAGCUAUAGCGGUAACACCCUAUGAGCUUUGGAAGGGAAGGAAGCCCUCACUUCGCCAUUUGGCAGUUUGGGGGUGUAAUGCUCAAAUAAGGAUACCUAGCCAGUUGCGCACCAAACUACAAUCUAAAAGUACCCCAGGAAUUUUUAUUGGUUAUGCAUCAGGUUCUAAUGGUUAUCGUUUUUGGGAUCCUCAAAGGAAGAAAUUGAUUGAAAGUGGAGAUGCAGUUUUUCUUGAUCAGGAUACACCUCGCCGUGCUAAACGAGCUAGGGUGGAAUUAUUAGUAGAACCUGAAGAUAUCUUUUUACCUGAAACUGAACCUCUAGUUCAGGAAAUAAUGAUGCUAAUCAAUCUACUAAUUCUAUUUCGAAUAGCAUGCCUAGGAGAAGUGGGAGGAAUACACAACCACCUGCAUAUUUAG
This 1107-nucleotide ribosomal RNA is filed under the name Triticum aestivum (bread wheat). RNAcentral describes it as "partial small subunit ribosomal RNA". The record is from RNAcentral. Lineage: Eukaryota; Viridiplantae; Streptophyta; Magnoliopsida; Poales; Poaceae.